UGUCUCUACACUAAAAGUUUGCUCAGUAUAAUUUUAAAACUAAGAAUGAAGCAUCAUCAAUGUACCUAAGGAAGGAUGAACCACCACAGUACCUUA
RNAcentral lists this long non-coding RNA (96 nucleotides) under Monodelphis domestica (gray short-tailed opossum). Its description in RNAcentral is "lncRNA (ENSMODG00000039507.1)". Lineage: Eukaryota; Metazoa; Chordata; Mammalia; Didelphimorphia; Didelphidae. The record is from RNAcentral.